This 253-nucleotide ribosomal RNA is filed under the name uncultured bacterium. RNAcentral describes it as "partial 16S ribosomal RNA". It matches the Rfam family "Bacterial small subunit ribosomal RNA", at positions 524 to 776 of the family's 1533-position model. The record is from RNAcentral.
UACUUAGGGGGCAAGCGUUGUCCGGAAUUAUUGGGCGUAAAGCGCGCGCAGGUGGUUUCUUAAGUCUGAUGUGAAAGCCCACGGCUCAACCGUGGAGGGUCAUUGGAAACUGGGGAACUUGAGUGCAGGAGAGAAGAGUGGAAUUCCACGUGUAGCGGUGAAAUGCGUAGAGAUGUGGAGGAACACCAGUGGCGAAGGCGACUCUUUGGCCUGUAACUGACGCUGAGGCGCGAAAGCGUGGGGAGCAAACAGG